RNAcentral lists this ribosomal RNA (451 nucleotides) under uncultured bacterium. RNAcentral describes it as "partial 16S ribosomal RNA". It matches the Rfam family "Bacterial small subunit ribosomal RNA", at positions 354 to 796 of the family's 1533-position model. The record is from RNAcentral.
GUGGGGAAUAUUGGACAAUGGGGGGAACCCUGAUCCAGCCAUGCCGCGUGUGUGAAGAAGGCCUUUUGGUUGUAAAGCACUUUAAGCGAGGAGGAGGCUACUCUAGUUAAUACCUAGAGAUAGUGGACGUUACUCGCAGAAUAAGCACCGGCUAACUCUGUGCCAGCAGCCGCGGUAAUACAGAGGGUGCAAGCGUUAAUCGGAUUUACUGGGCGUAAAGCGCGCGUAGGUGGCCAAUUAAGUCAAAUGUGAAAUCACCGAGCUUAACUUGGGAAUGGCAUUCGAUACUGGUUGGCUAGAGUAUGGGAGAGGAUGGUAGAAUUCCAGGUGUAGCGGUGAAAUGCGUAGAGAUCUGGAGGAAUACCGAUUGCGAAGGCAGCCAUCUGGCAUAAUACUGACACUGAGGUGCGAAAGCAUGGGGAGCAAACAGGAUUAGAUACCCUAGUAGUCC